RNAcentral lists this ribosomal RNA (919 nucleotides) under uncultured archaeon. RNAcentral describes it as "bacterial SSU rRNA". It matches the Rfam family "Archaeal small subunit ribosomal RNA", at positions 1 to 922 of the family's 1478-position model. The record is from RNAcentral.
UUCCGGUUGAUCCUGCCGGAGGUCAUUGCUAUCGGAGUCCGAUUUAGCCAUGCUAGUCGUGCGAGUUCAGACUCGCGGCAUAUAGCUCAGUAACACGUGGUCAAGCUACCCUACAGAGAACGAUAUCCUCGGGAAACUGAGGCCAAUAGUUCAUAAGGUUCCUAGGCUGGAGUGCCGGGAACUGGAAACGUUCCGACGCUGUAGGAUGCGGCUGCGGUCGAUUAGGUAGACGGUGGGGUAACGGCCCACCGUGCCGAUAAUCGGUACGGGUUGUGAGAGCAAGAGCCCGGAGACGGAAUCUGAGACAAGAUUCCGGGCCCUACGGGGCGCAGCAGGCGCGAAACCUUUACACUGCACGCAAGUGCGAUAAGGGGACUCCGAGUGCGAGGGCAUAUAGUCCUCGCUUUUCUGUACCGUAGGAAGGUACAGGAAUAAGAGCUGGGCAAGACCGGUGCCAGCCGCCGCGGUAAUACCGGCAGCUCAAGUGAUGACCGAUUUUAUUGGGCCUAAAGCGUCCGUAGCUGGCCAAGCAAGUCUGUCGGGAAAUCCAUCCGCUCAACGGAUGGGCGUCCGGCGGAAACUCCUUGGCUUGGGACCGGAAGGCUCGAGGGGUACGUCUGGGGUAGGAGUGAAAUCCCGUAAUCCUGGACGGACCACCGAUGGCGAAAGCACCUCGAGAAGACGGAUCCGACAGUGAGGGACGAAAGCUAGGGUCUCGAACCGGAUUAGAUACCCGGGUAGUCCUAGCCGUAAACGAUGUUCGCUAGGUGUGGCACAGGCUACGAGCCUGUGCUGUGCCGUAGGGAAGCCGAGAAGCGAACCGCCUGGGAAGUACGUCCGCAAGGAUGAAACUUAAAGGAAUUGGCGGGGGAGCACUACAACCGGAGGAGCCUGCGGUUUAAUUGGACUCAACGCCGGU